CAAGUCGAACGGACGUAGCAAUACGUUAGUGGCGGACGGGUGAGUAACGCGUGAGCAAUCUGCCUCUGUCAGGGGGAUAACACUUAGAAAUAGGUGCUAAUACCGCAUAAGACCACGCAACGGCAUCGUAGAGUGGUAAAAGAUAACACAUCGGACAGAGAUGAGCUCGCGUCCCAUUAGCUAGUUGGUAGGGUAACGGCCUACCAAGGCGACGAUGGGUAGCCGACCUGAGAGGGUGAUCGGCCACACUGGAACUGAGAAACGGUCCAGACUCCUACGGGAGGCAGCAGUGGGGAAUAUUGGGCAAUGGGCGAAAGCCUGACCCAGCAACGCCGCGUGAAGGAAGAAGGUUUUCGGAUUGUAAACUUCUGUCGCGAGGGACGAAGAAUGACGGUACCUCGUAAGAAGGCCCCGGCUAACUACGUGCCAGCAGCCGCGAUAAUACGUAUGGGGCAAGCGUUGUCCGGAAUGACUGGGCGUAAAGGGAGUGUAGGCGGCAUGACAAGUUAGAUGUGAAAGCCCGCAG
Molecule: ribosomal RNA, 526 nt
Filed under: uncultured bacterium
Lineage: Bacteria
Description: bacterial SSU rRNA
Rfam family: Bacterial small subunit ribosomal RNA
Source: RNAcentral